RNAcentral lists this ribosomal RNA (700 nucleotides) under Staphylococcus aureus. RNAcentral describes it as "bacterial SSU rRNA". It matches the Rfam family "Bacterial small subunit ribosomal RNA", at positions 78 to 762 of the family's 1533-position model. Lineage: Bacteria; Bacillati; Bacillota; Bacilli; Caryophanales; Staphylococcaceae. The record is from RNAcentral.
GCUUGCUUCUCUGAUGUUAGCGGCGGACGGGUGAGUAACACGUGGAUAACCUACCUAUAAGACUGGGAUAACUUCGGGAAACCGGAGCUAAUACCGGAUAAUAUUUUGAACCGCAUGGUUCAAAAGUGAAAGACGGUCUUGCUGUCACUUAUAGAUGGAUCCGCGCUGCAUUAGCUAGUUGGUAAGGUAACGGCUUACCAAGGCAACGAUGCAUAGCCGACCUGAGAGGGUGAUCGGCCACACUGGAACUGAGACACGGUCCAGACUCCUACGGGAGGCAGCAGUAGGGAAUCUUCCGCAAUGGGCGAAAGCCUGACGGAGCAACGCCGCGUGAGUGAUGAAGGUCUUCGGAUCGUAAAACUCUGUUAUUAGGGAAGAACAUAUGUGUAAGUAACUGUGCACAUCUUGACGGUACCUAAUCAGAAAGCCACGGCUAACUACGUGCCAGCAGCCGCGGUAAUACGUAGGUGGCAAGCGUUAUCCGGAAUUAUUGGGCGUAAAGCGCGCGUAGGCGGUUUUUUAAGUCUGAUGUGAAAGCCCACGGCUCAACCGUGGAGGGUCAUUGGAAACUGGAAAACUUUGAGUGCAGAAGAGGAAAGUGGAAUUCCAUGUGUAGCGGUGAAAUGCGCAGAGAUAUGGAGGAACACCAGUGGCGAAGGCGACUUUCUGGUCUGUAACUGACGCUGAUGUGCGAAAGCGU